GUGUUUAUGAACAUUUGAUUCAGCUGACAGAAGGUGGAACCAGUAGAGCUCAGAGGAAGGCAAAUGCUCUUUUGCAGCUUGUUACCAAGUCUGAACACUUGUAAUAAUUAAUUAGUUUCAAGUUGGUACGUAAAACUUUCUUUUAUUCUUAAGUUAAAUUAAAUUAGUCUCUUUGUUUCCACGUUAACAAGUUUAUAAUGGUGGGUUAUAACAGUAAUUUAACCCCACAUCACCAAGUUGACUCUCGCUUUCUAAGACAGUGCUAGAGGAAGGAGAAAUUUAAAAAUAAGUAUGGCUGUCUGUAAGAACUAAGAAGAAUAUACAUUACCUCUCCAAUAAACUAAAUCCCAACCAAAGUGCAAAAAAAUAAAAACCCAAUUAAUUAACAGUUCACAGUUCUUUUCCUUUAAUUUCUUUCGGAUGCAAGUGAUUUGCAAAUUUUAUUAUUUAGACUCUAUUUAAUAUUAAGGUUGAGUAAUUGUAGUUUAAAAACUACAAUCCUAAAAUAUUUAGUAAACUUGUCAUUCUAAAACUAAAUUGAUUUGAUGAUGAAAAAUAUAUAAUAUUUUUAUUAUUUUUAUCAUACUAUAAAUUUUUAUUUUAUUUUUAUAGCUAUAAUUAUAAUUUUUUUAUAAUAAUUAUAAAUUUUAAAUUACAAUACCUCGAUACUAAGAAAUAUCUGAGAAAGAGGCGAAUGUCUGUCCGGGAUGCGAACAGAGUUUUCAAUGGGAGAGAAACCAUGCUACUAUAUGUGACGCACUUGAGAAUGGGCAGUUCGCAGUUGAUCGUGGAAAAGAAAGAAUGCUACCAAAAUGUACCAGUACACCAUCAUCAAGGCUCAGCUGGGCUAGGCUGGGCUACGCUGAUAUGCACGAACAUUUGUCUUUCUGGUUUUUUUCUCUCCAAUCCAAGCUCUCUGACUCAGAAUCAUUACCAUACCCAUCAUCAUCAUCACAGAUAUUAAACAAUACUUAUUUCUUAUUGUAUUUUAAUUUUUAUCUUAGUAAAAUACAGAAUGAACAGAUGGUUAAUGAAUGAAAAUCAACUGGUCCUUAUCCACCUCAACACUAUUCUCCACAACCGGCGCCACCUUAGCACCAACUCUUCCACCAACAGCGGCAACAACAAAACAUACCUCAAAUCUUAUACUACUUGUUCGUUAUGUUUUACAAAGAUAAAAAGUUAAAAAUUAUUAAAAAUAAAUGUUAUUCGGUAUCUACGAUUGAAAUUCAAAAAAGGGUUCAAUCUAAAACAAUUAAAUCGUACGUCUGAGGUACUUAAAAAAUCCUCAAAUAAUGGAAACUUACUGCUGAGUAUCUAACGUCUGGGAUUGAGACGUUGAACGAAAUAAAAAAAAACAAAGCGGCUGUUUUGUUCAAGCAGAAGCAGCAUCUCAGAAAAGAACGAGAACACUGAAUGAGGAUGACAGUAAAGCUAGCCGCACCCCGCAAUUCCCUGCUACUUAAACUGAGCAAUGAAAGAUGACGUCAUAAGAACAAAAGCAGAUUUUGUCAUGACUCGGCGGCUGUCGGAAUUAAUUGUCUUUGUGGAACAACGCCAAGGCACGA
RNAcentral lists this long non-coding RNA (1568 nucleotides) under Citrus maxima (pomelo). RNAcentral's name for it is "long non-coding RNA (CMAX_LNC001641)". The record is from RNAcentral. Lineage: Eukaryota; Viridiplantae; Streptophyta; Magnoliopsida; Sapindales; Rutaceae.